Molecule: ribosomal RNA, 240 nt
Filed under: uncultured bacterium
Lineage: Bacteria
Description: partial 16S ribosomal RNA
Rfam family: Bacterial small subunit ribosomal RNA
Source: RNAcentral
CCGGGCGAACGGGUGCGUAACACGUAUGCAACCUACCUAUAACUGGGGAAUAGCCCGAAGAAAUUCGGAUUAAUACCCCAUAACACUUUCGAAUCGCAUGAUUUGGAUUUUAAAGCUCCGGCGGUUAUAGAUGGGCAUGCGGCCUAUUAGCUAGUUGGUGAGGUAAUGGCUCACCAAGGCUACGAUAGGUAGGGGGUCUGAGAGGAUGAUCCCCCACACUGGUACUGAGACACGGACCAG